GUUCCCAUACCGAACACGGAAGUUAAGCUCUUCAGCGCCGAUGGUAGUCGGGGGUUUCCCCCAGUGAGAGUAGGACGCCGCCAAGC
RNAcentral lists this ribosomal RNA (86 nucleotides) under Bacillus subtilis. The record is from RNAcentral. Lineage: Bacteria; Bacillati; Bacillota; Bacilli; Caryophanales; Bacillaceae.